GGGGAAUAUUGCGCAAUGGGGGGAACCCUGACGCAGCCAUGCCGCGUGAAUGAAGAAGGCCUUAGGGUUGUAAAGUUCUUUCGGUAUUGAGGAAGGUUGAUGUGUUAAUAGCACAUCAAAUUGACGUUAAAUACAGAAGAAGCACCGGCUAACUCCGUGCCAGCAGCCGCGGUAAUACGGAGGGUGCGAGCGUUAAUCGGAAUAACUGGGCGUAAAGGGCACGCAGGCGGUUAUUUAAGUGAGGUGUGAAAGCCCCGGGCUUAACCUGGGAAUUGCAUUUCAGACUGGGUAACUAGAGUACUUUAGGGAGGGGUAGAAUUCCACGUGUAGCGGUGAAAUGCGUAGAGAUGUGGAGGAAUACCGAAGGCGAAGGCAGCCCCUUGGGAAUGUACUGACGCUCAUGUGCGAAAGCGUGGGGAGCAAACAGGAUUAGAUACCCUGGUAGUCCGCGCCCUAAACGAUGUCAAUUAGCUGUUGGGCAACUUGAUUGCUUAGUAGCGUAGCUAACGCGUGAAAUUGACCGCCUGGGGAGUACGGUCGCAAGAUUA
RNAcentral lists this ribosomal RNA (548 nucleotides) under uncultured bacterium. RNAcentral describes it as "bacterial SSU rRNA". It matches the Rfam family "Bacterial small subunit ribosomal RNA", at positions 356 to 896 of the family's 1533-position model. The record is from RNAcentral.